GAAGUGAAAUCCAUGGGCUCAGCCCAUGAACUGCUUUCAAAAUAUUUUUCUUGAGUAGUGCAGAGGUAGGCGGAAUUCCCCGUGUAGCGGUGGAAUGCGUAGAUAUCGGGAGGAUCAUCAGUGGCGAAGGCGGCCUACUGGGCACCAACUGACGCUGAGGCUCGAAAGUGUGGGUAGCAAACAGGAUUAGAUACCCUGGUAGUCCACACCGUAAACGAUGAUUACUAGGUGUUGGAGGAUUGACCCCUUCAGUGCCGCAGUUAACACAAUAAGUAAUCCACCUGGGGAGUACGACCGCAAGGUUGAAACUCAAAGGAAUUGACGGGGGCCCGCACAAGCAGUGGAGUAUGUGGUUUAAUUCGACGCAACGCGAAGAACCUUACCAAGUCUUGACAUCCUGCGACGCACAUAGAUAUAUGUGUUUCCUUCGGGACGCAGAGACAGGUGGUGCAUGGUUGUCGUCAGCUCGUGUCGUGAGAUGUUGGGUUAAGUCCCGCAACGAGCGCAACCCUUAUGGUCAGUUACUACGCAAGAGGACUCUGGCCAGACUGCCGUUGACAAAACGGAGGAAGGUGGGGAUGACGUCAAAUCAUCAUGCCCUUUAUGACUUGGGCUACACACGUACUACAAUGGCGUUAAACAAAGAGAAGCAAGACCGCGAGGUGGAGCAAAACUCAGAAACAACGUCCCAGUUCGGACUGCAGGCUGCAACUCGCCUGCACGAAGUCGGAAUUGCUAGUAAUCGUGGAUCAGCAUGCCACGGUGAAUACGUUCCCGGGCCUUGUACACACCGCCCGUCACACCAUGAGAGCCGGGGGGACCCGAAGUCGGUAGUCUAACCGCAAGGAGGACGCCGCCGAAGGUAAAACUGGUGAUUGGGGUGAAGUCGUAACAAGGUAGCCGUAGGAGAACCUGCGGCUG
This 921-nucleotide ribosomal RNA is filed under the name human gut metagenome. RNAcentral's name for it is "bacterial SSU rRNA". It matches the Rfam family "Bacterial small subunit ribosomal RNA", at positions 591 to 1520 of the family's 1533-position model. The record is from RNAcentral.